Molecule: RNA transcript, 5178 nt
Organism: Aethalodelphis obliquidens (Pacific white-sided dolphin)
Lineage: Eukaryota; Metazoa; Chordata; Mammalia; Artiodactyla; Delphinidae
Gene: MARCHF7
Gene name: membrane associated ring-CH-type finger 7
Exons: 11
Source: RefSeq, a predicted model, not a curated record
ACGGUGGUGGCUGGUUCUGCGCCGGAUCCGGGAGUCGGGCGGACGCCAUUGUGAUUCGGGGCCGACUUUUCUGCCUCUGUUAGAGGCCUCGAACUCCGAGGAGGAAGGCGGCGGUGUGAUCGCUGGAAGCGGGACGGGCCCUGUUCAGUGCCAGCUCUGGAGCAGGGGAAACAUUAAGAAUGGAGUCUAAACCUUCAAGGAUUCCAAGAAGAAUUUCUGUUCAACCCUCUAGCUCUUUAAGUGCUAGGAUGAUGUCUGGAAGCAGAGGAAGUAGUUUAAAUGAUACCUAUCACUCAAGGGACUCUUCGUUUAGACUGGAUUCUGAAUAUCAGUCUACAUCAGCAUCAGCAUCUGCAUUACCAUUUCAGUCUACAUGGUAUAGUGAGUCUGAGAUAACUCAGGGAGCACGUUCAAGAUCGCAAAACCAGCAACGGGAUCAUGAUUCAAAAAGACCUAAACUUUCCUGUACAAACUGUACAUCUACCUCAGCUGGGAGAAGUGUUGGACAUGGUUUAAAUGCAGUAUCAGAUUCUUCUUGGAGGCAUAGUCAAGUUCCCAGAUCGUCAUCAGUGGUACUUGGAUCAUUUGGAACUGACUUAAUGAGAGAGAGGAGAGCAGAUUCCUCCAUUAGUAAUCUUAUGGAUUAUAGUCACCGAAGUGGUGAUUUCACAACUUCAUCAUAUGUUCAAGACAGAGUUCCUUCUUCAUAUUCACAAGGAGCAAGACCAAAAGAGAACUCUUUGAGCACUUUACAAUUGAAUACAUCAUCUACAAAUCACCAAAUGCCUUCUGAACAUCAGACCAUACCAUGUUCUAGGGACUCUGGUAGAAAUUCUUUAAGAUCAAAUUUUUCUCCAAGAGAAUUAGAAUCUCCCCAAAGCAGUAUACAGCCUGGAUUUUCUUAUAUUUCAAAUAGAGGUGAAACCUCAACUAUAGGCAGUUCAAAUAGGGUUGGCUCAUCUCAAAGAUCAUUUCAAGAAUCUUCUGACAAUGAAGGUAGGCGUACAACAAGGAGAUUGCUGUCACGUAUAGCUUCUAGUAUGUCAUCUACUUUUUUUUCACGAAGGUCUAGUCAGGAUUCCUUGAAUACAAGAUCAUUGAGUUCUGAGAAUUCUUACAUUUCUCCAAGAAUCUUGACAGCUUCACAGUCUCGUAAUGCAGCAUCAGCUUCUGAUGGUCCUGAUAACAGGGCAUCCGAAGCUUCUCAGGGAUUUCGAUUUCUUCGGCGAAGAUGGGGUUUGUCAUCUCUUAGCCAAAAUCAUAGCUCUGAGCCAGAUUCCCAAAAUUUUAACCAAGAAUCUGAAGGUAGAAAUACAGGACCAUGGUUAUCUUCCUCACUUAGAAAUAGAUGCACACCUUUGUUCUCUAGAAGGAGGCGAGAGGGACGAGAUGAAUCUUCAAGGAUAUCUACCUCUGAUAUACCAUCUAGAUCUCAUCAUAUUUUUAGAAGAGAAUCAAAUGAAGUGGUUCACCUUGAAGCACAGAGUGAUCCCCUUGGGGCUACUGCCAGCAGACCACAAGCAUCUGCAGCACCAAGCAGUGCUGCUACGGGUGGCUCCAUAUCGGAUUCGGCUCACGGUGGACGAAGUACAGGAAUAACAGGGAUCCUUCCUGGUUCCUUAUUCCGAUUUGCAGUGCCCCCGGCACUUGGAAGUAAUUUGACCGACAAUGUCAUGAUCACUGUAGAUAUUAUUCCUUCAGGUUGGAGUUCAUCUGAUGGAAAAAAUGAUAAAACUAAAAGUGUACCCUCAAGAGACCCAGAAAGACUGCAAAAAAUAAAAGAGAGCCUCCUUUUAGAGGACUCUGAAGAAGAAGAAGGUGAUUUAUGUAGAAUUUGUCAGAUGGCAGCUGCAUCAUCCUCUAACUUGCUGAUAGAGCCAUGCAAGUGCACAGGAAGUUUGCAAUAUGUCCACCAAGAGUGUAUGAAAAAAUGGUUACAGGCCAAAAUUAACUCUGGUUCUUCGCUAGAGGCUGUAACCACCUGUGAACUCUGUAAAGAGAAGUUGCAGCUUAACCUGGAGGAUUUUGAUAUUCAUGAACUACAUAGAGCUCAUGCAAAUGAACAAGCUGAGUAUGAGUUUAUCAGCUCUGGUCUCUACCUAGUUGUGUUACUGCACUUGUGCGAACAAAGCUUUUCUGAUAUGAUGGGAAAUACGAAUGAACCAAGCACACGUGUCCGAUUUAUUAACCUUGCAAGAACUCUUCAGGCACAUAUGGAAGAUCUCGAAAGUCCUCAUGGACCUUUAAUAGGCAGCCAGCUCCGCCAGCAGCUCCAAUCUCUUAAGAUCACGUUCCAGCUUUAGGACUUCUGCCUGGGCUCCUAUGUGAAGGCACUUAAUGCCCAAAUCUUUACAGGCAUCUGCACAGCUUACCCUCUUCUCAAAGUCCUACAACCUCCAGGGUGCUUCAUACCAGGUGGGCACAGAUAUUGGUGGCUCUGGAACAGUUCCUGGGAAUCCAAGAUUACCCUAUUGUGCUUUUUCACCCAAAGCAACUGGCAUCCCAUGAUCAGAUUCCAGUACACUCUUUGAAGUGUUUUUAUAUAUGUAUUCUCCAAUUGAUUAUCUUCUAUACUCAUCUUCAAAAUACUUGGACUGUUAACCUGUAGUGUGCAUAAUAUUUUUACCUCUAGAGAAAGCUUAGCAUCCUUUGAAGUAAGGUUUUUUUUAAGUUUUAAAAGGAUUAGAGGUACAACUGGGUAAUGCAUUUUCACAAUUUUAGUAUGUGUGGAAAUGGUAUAUAAAGGAAUCAAAUGGUAUAAUAAAGUGGGACUUCAUUAGUGUAAAUCUUUUUUUCCUUCAUUCCUUCUUAGUUCAGAUCCAUCAUGUUAGCUAGUACAAAGAUUAGUUCUGUCUUUUGUAAAUUAUAAUUGAUACUUUGUCAGAUGUGAUGAGAGUAAUUUGUUGCAGUGUACAUUUUGCCCAGAUUGCUUGUUUUUUUUCAACUAACAUUCUCAUUUAGAAUUUAGUUUUCUAAACAUAUAGGAGGGUCUACUCCCAACCUGUGAAUGAGAGGAAAAAGGUGAAGUUGAAAUAUAUACCCAGACUCAACUGAGAGUGAAAGAUGUGGGUGCUACAAGUUAACUUCUAAGUACUAGAGUAUUAAUACAUUCUGAAAAUUGGUUCUGACUGAAUUUUGUUCUGUAGAGUUAAUCCAAUAGAAAACAUGAGAAAUUCUCUGAAAAGCUAUUUUAUUUUUUAGUUUAACAUUUCUCCAUGAUAUUGCAUAAAAGUUAAGCAUAGGAUUUACUCUUCAUGAGCUAAGUAUAUGCUUGAUAUUUAUUUAAAGUGGAUUUUAAAUUUCUGCAAGGUAAAUAUAUGGAGAUUGAAGUUUCAUCUAUACGUGUUGCAUAAUUUUUUCUUGUUGAUUCCAUUUGCUGGUUGCCCUUAAAUUGUCCAGUAUUAAAUACAAGAAGAGUGUACAUUUAACCUUUCUGCCCUUGAUAAUAGGGGAAAUGCUGGUAGGAUGUUUAGUGAACUUCCGUUUUCCUUCACAUGCAGACAGUUACAUAGUCUUGUACUUACUGUGUCCUUCUUAAAGACGUUCGUGGAAGUUUUAUAUUAAACUCUUGAGCCACUAAUGACUUUAAAAUAAAUUGAGGUCGGACGUGUUGCGAGAGUGAUAAAUUUCUGACAAUGUGGAGGCAUAGGAAUAAUCUCAACAAAAGGUUUUUACUAAAUCCAAUUAUAUUAACUUAGGCUGUGUCUAUAUAAAGCUUUUUUGACUAGAGCUUUUUCUUGGCAUUGUAUAGACAUAGCUCUGAUGUAAAUUUCAAGAACACCCAUAACCUGUUAUUCUAUGUACAUUUUUUUCAUUCUCAUCGGAUACAUCAAACAUGCAGCGGUAAUAAGCCAGAUUCUACUCAGCUUCAGAGGAUGAUUCUGAAGAAGAUGGAGACCAUAACAGAACAUUUGAUAUUGCCUAACUUCACAUGAGACAAAUGGAUGAUCUGUGAACAGUGUUUAUUAAAACUGGCAAUUAAGUAUGAAUUAAUUUUCUGGGGAAAUACCUAUUGAAUACAUUUACUGUCUAUAUAUAUAUAGAAUGAAAAAAUAUAUAUAUAUACACACACAUAUUAUGCAUGUAUAUAUAUGUUCAUUCUCAAGUGUUGCUGAAUUAAAAUUCUGCUGGGCCUUUUAACAUGGCCAGUGAAUCUGAUGUUUAUAAACUGGUAAUUAAAAGUAUUUUUCUUUUAGAUGAGUGGGGAAAGUGUUACCCUUGUUUUAAAUAUCUAAGCAAUGCUGACAGCCCUUUUUUGUGUUGUGAUUACUGUAGUUAUAUUUAUGAAAAAAGGUUGGUGUUUUAGUCUCGUUAGUGAAAAAAGUGGGACAAAGUAUGCUUUUAGAAUAAAUUGCCAAAUGGCACCUAAUUAUUUUUCUUUUUAAAAUGCCUUAAGUUGCGGUCUCAUUUUCAUAAUCACUUGCUUCCAGUGUUUAAAAAAAAAAAAAGAAUGGGGAGAAAGUUAAGAGCAUUCAUUAUAUUAGAUUUCCAAAUUUAAUUUGAAUUCUAAAUUCACUUAGCAAUGGUCUAAUUUUUAAAAUAUAUAAAGUGUACAAAUGGAUAACUUUUUGUAUUGAUGUGCAAAAUGCAGAUUAUAUUUGAUAGGCCAUAGUAUGUAGAUAUUCCUUUUAGGAAUAUUACAGCUGUAAAUUAUAUCAGAAUUGCCAGUCAGAUGCUAUUUGGUUAAAAAUAUUAUUGCAGUCUCAAGUUAAAUAUUUUUAAAUCCCACAUUCAGAAUUUAAAACACUGGUUUUCAAUGUGUUUUUUAGUGUUGUCACUUCUUUAUAGAUAAAUAUGAUAUAAAUAACCUGUUUGGAUCCUGGUCGUUUUUAACUGUUCCUUGGUAAUUCUAAGCAUUUAUUUGAUGACUUAAUAUUUUUCACUACCUUUAGAGAAGAGAUGAACAUUAACUGUUCACCAUACUGUGGUCCUGAGUUGUGUAUAUGUCCAUAACACUGUAUAUUUUCUCUGUCAACACCCUUAGGAUACACUUAAAAACGCCUGCAGGUGGGUUUCAGGUUAAAUAAAGUCUUUUGUCCAGCUACUUUUUCAGAACCCAAAUAGAAACCAUGUAAUUUCUCACAUGUGAAUCAACAGUUUGCCCACAUUCAGUCAGAUUGUUGGUCUUAAUGUAAAACUUCGGCUUGAAAUAAAGUGCAUACUGAUUGAUUUACUUUA